GAAAUCUCCUCCGUGUCUGCGUGUUGAUUUUGUACCUUGCACUCCCAGUCCAGGCCCCCCAACCCUGUUUCUCGAGGGGGCCCGCGGACAAAAACAGCAAAAACCACGGUCAGAGUCUCACUGUGUCGCCCAGGCUGCCCUUGCGCUCACCACAGUGCUCCUGCCUCAGCCUCCCAAGCACUGGGACCACACACCUGAACCACCGCACCCAGCUCGCACACAGUGGCUUGGACAUGAAUAUCUCCAGACACCGCUGGCUAAAGGCUUCAUCCCCUCUUGGCUGUAGAGGACCCUGAGACCCCAGUGCCUCCCUUCCCUCCUGCGUCCUGGCCACGAGCUACCUUGACAUCAGCAACUUUUUGUCUACCAGGCCCCUCUGCUGUCCUGUUUCUACCUUGAGCCAGCCAAUCACGGUUUUAAGGCGCCAAUGGCUUAAUCACUUCCCACUUUCGCGGACCGUUCCUUUGGGAGCUGCCGGGGUUGGAGCCCCUCUGUGCGUGUAACGCUGCCUUGCAUCUCAAACUCCACUCACAUCCUCUCCUCCGCAAGCAGAAUCCAGCCCAGGCCACAGCACUCUGUGUCUGGUGAGGACUGAGCCAGGGCCCGUUCUCCCUGGGAAGAUGAGGAAGGUCCCAGGCCUGGAGGCGCAGGGCCAGGUUUCUACCCUGUCGGGUGCGUGGUUGCCCUCCCCUCUGGGUGCCUGCUUCUGGGUGUAGCUGGAAGGCGGCUGCCCGCGCCCUUUCUUGGGUCUCCCGGUGGACGGGGCAGACGCUCCUUCCUCCUCCCGAUGCCCAGUGGAAUCCACCCGCGCCACCUCGCCGGCUGCCCCCAGUUCCUGGCCCCCCAGAGGGUGAGUCCUCGAGCCUGGAGAAGGGAGGACAGUGUGGGUGUCCCAGAGCCUGGGGGCAUGGGCUCACUGAAUUUAGGGCUUCCAGCUGGCUCCAUGCAAGAAGAGGCCACACUGAGGGCGUGACAGGAAGGUCCCAGCUCCCUCCUGCCUCCUCCCUUGACUGUUUCCUGUCCCCCACUCCGUGAGCGGCUCUGUCUGCUCGGCUGUGUGCCACGCCCCACCCUGGAGCACCAAAUAUGGGCCCAAAGCUCUUGGAGAAGUAGCAGGCAUCGUCCCCAUCCUCAGAAUCGGGUCACGCACACAGCGAAGUUUGGCUUUGAAGUCGCUGAGGUGUCCAGGAAGCUCCGGGGAAACCUCAGAGUCGCUUCCAGUCAGACAAAUGCAGAUGGCACCACCUGCAUCAAGAAGGGUGGGAGGGGGUGGCAGGAGCCGGGCACUGCCGGCUCAUGGCCCCAAGGCGGCGCGGACCACGCCGGGCUGGUUACACCGACCAAGGUAAGAACAAUCCGUCACUCCGUCAGGAUCCCAGGCACACUCGUCACGGUCUCUGGGACCGACGGUCCUAACCCUGCGGCGAGCAGGCCACAUCCUACCCUGUGAGAACUUGCAUUUGGGUCUGGAGAAAAGAACCCGCAGGGAAACCAGUGCGGUACAGAAUUUGUCCAGAUUCGCUCCUUCAGGGAAGAGCUCUGAAACCCUCCAGCACGGUUGACUCGUUAGUGGAAAAGUCCUUCAAAAUGAGAAAAUAUAGUUUGUCCCUCUGUUUUCGGAGGGAAGAACUUUAAGAAUACUUAAAUAGAAGGGGAGGGGAAAGGAAAUAAGGAAAAAGAAAAAAUGUGAAAAAAGGAAACAAAGUC
Fukomys damarensis (Damara mole-rat) is the source of this 1707-nucleotide long non-coding RNA. RefSeq lists it as uncharacterized. The transcript has 3 exons. NCBI's taxonomy places the organism in Eukaryota, Metazoa, Chordata, Mammalia, Rodentia, Bathyergidae. The record is from RefSeq and is a predicted model, not a curated record.